RNAcentral lists this ribosomal RNA (492 nucleotides) under uncultured bacterium. Its description in RNAcentral is "partial 16S ribosomal RNA". It matches the Rfam family "Bacterial small subunit ribosomal RNA", at positions 29 to 507 of the family's 1533-position model. The record is from RNAcentral.
AGUGAACGCUGGCGGUAGGCCUAACACAUGCAAGUCGAACGGCAGCACAGUAAGAGCUUGCUCUUACGGGUGGCGAGUGGCGGACGGGUGAGGAAUACAUCGGAAUCUACUUUUUCGUGGGGGAUAACGUAGGGAAACUUACGCUAAUACCGCAUACGACCUACGGGUGAAAGCAGGGGAUCUUCGGACCUUGCGCGAUUGAAUGAGCCGAUGUCGGAUUAGCUAGUUGGCGGGGUAAAGGCCCACCAAGGCGACGACCCGUAGCUGGUCUGAGAGGAUGAUCAGCCACACUGGAACUGAGACACGGUCCAGACUCCUUCGCGAGGCAGCAAUGGGGAAUAUGGGACAAUGGGCGCAAGCCUGAUCCAGCCAUACCGCGUGGGUGAAGAAGGCCUUCGGGUUUUAAAGCCCUUUUGUUGGGAAAGAAAAGCAGCAGGUUAAUACCUCGCUGUUCUGACGGUACCCAAAGAAUAAGCACCGGCUACCUUCGUG